This 557-nucleotide long non-coding RNA is filed under the name Sorghum bicolor (sorghum). Its description in RNAcentral is "long non-coding RNA (SBIC_LNC012777)". The record is from RNAcentral. Lineage: Eukaryota; Viridiplantae; Streptophyta; Magnoliopsida; Poales; Poaceae.
GUCUUGGUGACUCUUAUGCAUGAGAUGUCUAGAGAGAUAGUAGAAAUUAUUAAGGUCAAGGAUGGGAUGGAUAGCCAAAUCAUGGGAUUGAAAUGUUUGGAAAUUGGCUAUUGAAACUUCCUUUCCUCGUCUGGGAGAUGAUUCCUUCUCUAUCUCUAAGAUUUUUCUAUGAAGACUAGUACAAGAAGGAUGUCCACGAAUGAAGACAUACCUUGCUUUACUAACAGAUAAAGAAAGAAAAACUCUACCAAAGGGUAUAUGAUUAAGACCAAUGUGAAAAUAUCAAGGAAAAACAUGGUCUUGUAGGGCUAGGUUUAAACCAGAAUUUAUAGAAAGAUUAACAGAUUCCCUAGGUGUAGCUAAAAGUUCAUUAUCUUUUUGAUUAAAAGAUAGGACCUCAGCUAUAGAAAAGGGUUGGUUUUGACCUAUUGCAAUCAACUCCGGACACAGAUCAUAAUUAGGGGUAAAGAAAGGACUUGUUGACUCCCAUGGUCUAUGGCUGGUCUCCGAAGGUGCAAAAAAUUCAAGAAUAGGUGUGGAAUUUGAGUUAUCCACAA